RNAcentral lists this ribosomal RNA (301 nucleotides) under uncultured bacterium. RNAcentral describes it as "partial 16S ribosomal RNA". It matches the Rfam family "Bacterial small subunit ribosomal RNA", at positions 509 to 807 of the family's 1533-position model. The record is from RNAcentral.
CAGCAGCCACGGUAAUACGAGGGGGGCAAGCGUUGUUCGGAAUUAUUGGGCGUAAAGGGUGCGUAGGCGGUUUGGCAAGUUUGGUGUGAAAUCUUCGGGCUCAACUCGAAGUCUGCAUCGAAAACUGCCGGGCUUGAGUAUGGGAGAGGUGAGUGGAAUUUCCGGUGUAGCGGUGAAAUGCGUAGAUAUCGGAAGGAACACCUGUGGCGAAAGCGGCUCACUGGACCAUAACUGACGCUGAUGCACGAAAGCUAGGGGAGCAAACAGGAUUAGAUACCCCAGUAGUCCCUGUCUCUUAUAC